UGUGCUGUGUUUUGAUUUUUUUAAAUUAUUUUGUUGAAGUUAUUUGUUUUAACUUUGAAAAUUGAAAUUGAAUUGAAUUUGAAAAUACGAUAAUUUGAUACAAUUAUGUUUAAAAUAAAAUUAGAUAUAUUCGAGAAUGAUCAAAUUAUAGAUACAGUUGAAAACGUGACUAAUACAGACCCAGACCAUCUGGUUAUAUCUUUAGAAGCAUUUCGCCAAACUGUUAAUGAUAAACUUACUCAGAAAGUUAACGGAAACGAUGGCGAUGUCGAAGACUGUGAUAUUGAAGAAGUAGUGAGCAGCAGUGAAGAUGAAGCAGCAGAAGUUAAUUGUGGCACCCCAAAGAGGAGAAAGAAGUGAAAAGGUUAUUAUAAUACAUUAUAUACUAAGAGCUGUUUUUACCACCCAAAGUGUCAAAUUUUGACAAGAUUUGCCUUUGUCAUUUUGGUAUAAAUUAAGAAAAAGACAAAGCUUAUGUUUUUGUGCUUAUCAGAAAGUUUUCAAAGCGGCUCUAAUUUUUUAAAUGGUUUAUUACUGAAUCAUUAAAUGUUUGUUGAAUAUCUUGUCAAAAUAUUUUUCACACUCUUACACUAAGAAAAGCAAUCUUUGUCAUGAAACAUACUUUUAGGCAUUCAUAAAGAGAUUCUGCCUUUUUUUGAAAUCAAAUCAUAAAUUUCUCUUAGAAGAUUGAUGAGAGACUAUAAUAGCAAGUACCUAUCUAUAUAUCAUCAUCACCUUACCCUUAUCCCACUUAAGUGGGGUCAGAAAAAUAUGUCAAACUUUUCCAUUUGUCUCUAUUACUUGUCAACUAAUCAUCCACUUCUUUUACACACAUGUCCUCUUUCACACAAUCCAACCGUCUCUUCUUUGGCCUUCCUCUCCUCUUAUGACCUUCCACUUGCACAUUCAACAUUUUACUAGUUAUAUGACUUUCUUCUCUACGCAUUACAUGUCCAUACCAAGCUAACCUUCUACUCCUCAACUUUUAUGACAGAGGGUAGGGAUAGGGCAGUUGAAAGUUAACAUCAAAUAGCACGGCGACGAAGUUGUGGGCGUCCGCUAGUAUUAAAUAACCAAUAUUAUUUUACAGGGUAUUUGUUGAAAUUAAUUAAUAAAAUGCAUAACUUUGUUUACUUGUGUAUUUUCUUUUAAAUAUUGUAUCACAUUUAUUUUUAUUCACAACAAAUUCUAUAACUACUCCCUAUACUUAGCUCAUAACACUCUUAAGAAAAUUACUGGGAGUUUCAGCCGUCUAUAGUAAGUAGUUAUAAGUAUGAGUACUACUCACAAUGGUUUAAACACUAAAAAUAUUAUUUACAUUACAUAGAAGUAUUUCAUACAAUUCACAUUUAAAUCUUGGACUAAUAGAGUUUAACUCUACAAUAAAACUAUUUUAAUUAGCCCUUUAUUAAAUUUAUAUUAUGCUGGUGUACUCUGUAGUACUUACUGGUUUUAAUGUGUUUAGGGUUACUGAUACCAUUUGUGUAAUAUUCUAACAAUGUUAGAAAAAAGGAAUAAUUAUAAUAUUUUUUUAUAAAACAAGAUAAAUUUACUCGUAUUUGGAAUGUGUUAGAUCACAGUAGCAGGUAUAAAGACAAAGGGACAAUAUAUUAUGUAAUUAUUAAAAGUAUAAUCUAAUGGAAUGUUUACAAAGUACUAUAGAUAUAAAAUUUAUCCUAUAAAUCUUUAAGAUGCAAACUGUGUCAUAUUUUGCCAAAGGUAGUUCAGGGCAUUGGCAUUGGUAACAAUUAAAUAUAUUAUUCAGUUAUUUAUAUAAGAAAAAUAAUAAAAUCAAUGAACUUUCA
Bicyclus anynana (squinting bush brown) is the source of this 1805-nucleotide long non-coding RNA. RefSeq lists it as uncharacterized. The record is from RefSeq and is a predicted model, not a curated record. The transcript is spliced from 2 exons. Lineage: Eukaryota; Metazoa; Arthropoda; Insecta; Lepidoptera; Nymphalidae.